UACGGAGGGUGCAAGCGUUAUCCGGAUUCACUGGGUUUAAAGGGUGCGUAGGUGGCUUGGUAAGUCAGUGGUGAAAGCCCGGAGCUCAACUCCGGAACUGCCAUUGAUACUGCUUAGCUUGAAUCAGGUCGAGGUGGAUGGAAUAUUACAUGUAGCGGUGAAAUGCUUAGAUAUGUAAUAGAACACCGAUUGCGAAGGCAGUUCACUAGGCCUGAAUUGACACUGAGGCACGAAAGCGUGGGGAUCAAACAGG
RNAcentral lists this ribosomal RNA (253 nucleotides) under uncultured bacterium. RNAcentral's name for it is "partial 16S ribosomal RNA". It matches the Rfam family "Bacterial small subunit ribosomal RNA", at positions 524 to 776 of the family's 1533-position model. The record is from RNAcentral.